This 5796-nucleotide small RNA is filed under the name Pan troglodytes (chimpanzee). RNAcentral describes it as "retained intron". The record is from RNAcentral. Lineage: Eukaryota; Metazoa; Chordata; Mammalia; Primates; Hominidae.
AAUGGCGGAAGUGGCACCGUUGCCAGGCAGCCGUUGCCUGGCGUCGCGGGGCGUACUCUGCGCUGGGCGCGCGGAGGCCUAGGCGGGAAGCUCGAGCGGCGGCGCCAUGGCCCGAGGUAGCGCGCGGCUGGCGGGGGUCCCGAGGGUCCCGGGUUCCGGGGUUCCGGGGUCCAGGGUCGGCGGCCGGAGCGCUCAGGGCCCCCGCCUAGGCCCUGAGGCCAGAGUCCCCGCUCAGACAGGGUCCCGUCUGCCGGGCGCCCACCCUCGGGCUCCCGGAGCUUGGCUUCCCUCGGGCGCCCGGCCUCGUCCCGCCAGCCUAGCUGGCGUUGGCGUCGCCGGGGAAGGCGGGGAGAGCCCCGGCUCCUGCCUGGUCCCCGAGGCCCGGCCCAGCCCCGCAGUGGCCCCGGCUCGCGUGGCCGAGUCCCCUGACGCCCGGCGCCCGCUCCCCGCAGCGUGGCAGCACCCGUUCCUCAACGUCUUCAGACACUUCCGGGUGGACGAGUGGAAGCGCUCCGCCAAGCAGGGGGACGUGGCCGUGGUCACGGACAAGACCCUGAAAGGCGCCGUGUAUCGCAUUCGGGGCUCAGUCUCUGCCGCCAACUACAUCCAGCUCCCUAAGAGCAGCACCCAGUCCUUGGGGCUGACGGGACGAUACCUGUAUGUGCUCUUUCGGCCCCUGCCCAGCAAGCACUUCGUCAUCCACCUGGAUGUGUCCUCCAAGGACAACCAAGUCAUCCGUGUGUCUUUCUCCAACCUCUUCAAGGAGUUUAAGUCUACGGCCACGUGGCUCCAGUUUCCCUUGGUCCUGGAGGCCAGGACACCUCAGAGAGAUCUGGUGGGUUUGGCCCCCUCCGGAGCCCGCUGGACCUGCCUGCAGCUCGAUCUGCAGGACGUUCUCCUGGUCUACCUGAACCGGUGCUAUGGCCAUCUCAAGAGCAUCAGGCUGUGCGCCAGCCUGCUGGUCAGGAACCUGUACACCAGUGACCUGUGCUUUGAGCCUGCCAUCUCUGGGGCCCAGUGGGCAAAGCUGCCCGUGACUCCUAUGCCUCGGGAAAUGGCAUUCCCUGUGCCCAAGGGAGAGAGCUGGCAUGACCGCUACAUCCACGUCCGGUUUCCAAGUGAGAGCUUGAAAGUGCCUUCCAAGCCGAUUGAGAAGAGCUGUUCCCCUCCUGAGGCAGUCCUCCUGGGGCCGGGGCCACAGCCUCUCCCUUGCCUGGUGGCCUCCAGCAAACCUGUGCGGUUCAGUGUGUCUCCAGUGGUCCAGACGCCCAGCCCCACAGCCGUGAGUACCCCCUUCGCCCUAUGAGAUGGGGUUGGGGUGUGAUGGCCCAGGACGCUGAUGGGCACUUGUCCCCCAGCAGUGCGGCCGGGCCCCCGUGGCACCCAGGCCCUUCCCGGAGGUCAGCCUGUCCCAAGAGCGCUCAGACGCCUCCAACGCGGAUGGCCCCGGUUUCCAUAGCCUUGAGCCCUGGGCCCAGGUGGAGGCCUCUGACGUCCACACGGCUGCUGCCGGCACCCAUGUGUUGACUCACGAGUCGGCUGAGGUGCCCGUGGCCCGCACCGGCUCCUGCGAAGGCUUCCUCCCAGACCCAGUCCUGAGGCUCAAGGGCGUCAUCGGCUUUGGGGGCCACGGCACCAGACAGGCCCUGUGGACCCCAGACGGGGCGGCUGUCGUGUACCCCUGCCAUGCGGUGAUCGUCGUCCUGCUCGUGGACACGGGGGAGCAGCGCUUCUUCCUUGGCCACACAGACAAGGUCUCCGCCCUGGCGCUGGAUGGCAGCAGCUCACUAUUGGCCUCGGCCCAGGCAAGGGCCCCUAGUGUGAUGCGGCUCUGGGACUUCCAGACCGGGCGGUGCCUGUGCCUGUUCCGGAGCCCAAUGCACGUUGUCUGCUCUCUCAGGUGAGCACAGGUCUGCCCCAUGCAGGGGGUGGGGGUCAGCCCAGGCGACACUGACCGCCUCCUCCCUGUUCACAGCUUCUCUGACAGCGGGGCCCUUCUCUGCGGGGUUGGCAAGGACCACCACGGGAGGACGGUAACAGGGCCCUGGCUGGGGGUUGGGGUGGGGCCGUCCUGAUGCAUGCAGACAGCUGGAAGGGUCUUGGUUUUCUGAAACUCCAGCUUCAUGUGACCCUGGGUCCCUGCUCUGUGUCCUCCCUGUGGUGGGGCUCCCUGCACUCUGGUGUUCAUGCCGCCCCCGUGCCCUGCACAAAAACCACCAGCAGCAGCUCACAUUUCACGUCUCGGCUUUUCGGCCAUCGGAGUCGGUUUAAGCCAGCGUUUACACACCUCGCCUCGUUCUCUCUGCUGGUGAUGCGGUUGUAAGAUUUUCACGUGGCAGAGCCCCUGCAGCUGACCCACGCUUGGGCAUCAGUGGCACCUCCACACAGCCGAAGCACCCGGCAUCUUGGUGGGGGCACCUUUUUAAACAUUUUUUUUUUUGAGGGAGGGCCUUAUUCUGUCACCUAGGCUGGAAUGCAGUGGUGCAAUCAUAGCUCACUGCAGCCUCGACCCCCUCCCUGACCUCCCCGCCAGCUGGACUCCAGCCAUCCUCCUGCCUCAGCUUCCCAGAUAGCUGGGCCACAGGCGUGUGCCACCGCACCUGGCUAACUGUUUUUUUUUUUUUUUUUUUGAGAUGGCAUCUUGCUCUGUCGCCCAGGAUGGAGUGCAGUGGCGCGAUCUUGGCUCACUGCAAGCUCCGCCUCCCAGGUUCACACCAUUCUCCUGCCUCAGCCUCCCCAGUAGCUGGGACUACAGGCGCCUGCCAACACGCCUGGCUAAUUUUUUUUUUUUUUGUAUUUUUGGUAGAGAUAGGCUUUCACCUUGUUAGCCAGGAUGGUCUCACGUUUUGUUUUUUUAACUUUUUGUAGAGAUAGGGUUUCAUUACAUUGCUCAGGCUGGUCUCAAACUCCAGGGCUCAAGCAGUCCUCCCACCUUAGCCUCCCAAAGUGCUGGGAUCACAGGCAUGAGCUACUGUGCCCAGCCACGAGCUGCUUUUUAUCCACCUUCCGGCUUGUGGGUGGGUUUGUACUUCUCUGUGAAUGGGUUGCAGUGCUCAGCAUUGCGGGUCUCUGUAGAAGUCCCAAAGCUUCAGGAUGAGAAGAUGGAGGGGCUGGUUUCCUUCCACUCUCCGCGGCCGCAUGCUCAGAGGCUGGUCUCUGCGUGAGAGAAAAGCCACUUCCGGGUGGGGCUCGGCUGGGCCUUGCAGAAUCGAGGUGGCACCGACUGGCCCUGCCAUGUGGGCUCAGCCUGGGCUUGUUGCAGAUGGUGGUGGCCUGGGGCACCGGCCAGGUGGGCCUCGGUGGCGAGGUGGUCGUUCUGGCAAAGGCGCACACUGACUUUGACGUCCAGGCCUUCCGGGUCACCUUUUUUGAUGAAACCAGGAUGGCGUCGUGCGGGCAGGGCAGCGUGCGGCUCUGGCGGCUGCGUGGCGGGGCGCUGCGUUCCUGCCCCGUGGACUUAGGGGAGCACCAUGCGCUGCAGUUCACCGACCUCGCCUUCAAGCAGGCCCGGGACGGCUGCCCGGAGCCCUCAGCUGCCAUGCUCUUGGUGUGCAGCCGCAGUGGCCACAUCUUGGAGAUUGACUGUCAGCGCAUGGUCGUGCGGCAUGCCCGCCGCCUGCUCCCCACACGGACUCCAGGCGGUCCCCACCCGCAGAAGCAGACCUUCAGCUCAGGUAAGAGGGCGCCCACCACGUGGCGAGGGUGGCAGGGACACCGAGGCACUGACGCCUCCCUGCCCCCAGGCCCCGGCAUUGCCAUCAGCAGCCUCAGCGUCUCCCCGGCCAUGUGUGCUGUGGGCUCUGAGGACGGCUUCCUGCGGCUCUGGCCCCUGGACUUCUCCUCGGUGCUCCUGGAGGCAGGUGAUGCUGUGGGCACGCUCUCCCAACUCCGGGAGAGCCUCGCCUGGAUGCUGGGGCGGGGAAGGCCCAGUCCCUGGGGCUCUGCUGUCAGCCGCCCUGGCUCCUGGCUGCACAGGGUGCCACGGGGCCAAGUGGCGUAUCCAGAGCCCUGGGGCGGCUGAUGCCAGGGCGGCCCGCAGGGCAGCCUCACGGAAGGGCCCGGUGGGACGUGGGUACUGUGUGAAGCCCCUCAGCCUGUGUCCCGCCUAGCCUAAGAGUGGUGGUCUCGAGGGAGCUGCAUCUUGCAGCCGUGUGGAGCCUGGGACUUUGAGCAGCAGGGAGUGCAUUUGCUGGGGUCUCGGGGACCCGAAGCCUGAGCAUGCGGCUCACCCCGGGGUGGCCCUGGAGGCCCCUGACCCCACCCCACCCACAGAGCACGAGGGCCCCGUCAGCUCAGUCUGUGUCAGCCCCGAUGGCCUCCGUGUGCUGUCUGCCACCUCCUCGGGCCACCUGGGCUUCCUGGACACGCUGUCCCGGGUGUACCACAUGCUGGCUCGCUCCCACACCGCCCCGGUGCUGGCCCUCGCCAUGGAGCAGAGGCGGGGACAGCUGGCCACCGUGUCCCAGGACCGCACCGUCCGCAUCUGGGACCUGGCCACCCUGCAGCAGCUAUACGACUUCACAUCAUCAGAGGAAGCCCCGUGCGCUGUCACCUUCCACCCCACAAGGCCAACCUUUUUCUGUGGCUUUAGCAGUGGGGCUGUGCGCUCCUUCAGCCUGGAGGCCGCUGAGGUCCUGGUGGAACACACGUGCCACCGAGGAGCUGUCACCAGCCUGACCGCCACCCCUGACGGCCGCCUGCUCUUCAGCUCCUGCUCCCAGGGCUCCCUGGCCCAGUACAGCUGUGCGGACCCCCAGUGGCAUGUCCUCCGAGUGGCAGCGGACAUGGUAUGCCCGGAUGCCCCCGCGAGCCCCAGCGCUCUGGCAGUCAGCAGGGAUGGCCGCCUGCUGGCCUUCGUGGGACCCUCCAGGUGCACAGUGACAGUCAUGGGCUCGGCCUCCCUUGAUGAGCUGCUGCGAGUUGACAUCGGCACUCUGGACCUGGCCAGCAGCCGCCUGGACUCAGCCAUGGCUGUGUGCUUUGGCCCUGCAGCUCUGGGCCACCUGCUGGUGUCCACCUCAUCCAACAGAGUCGUGGUGCUGGAUGCUGUGUCGGGCCGCAUCAUCCGGGAGCUGCCUGGUGUCCACCCUGAGCCCUGCCCCUCCUUGACGCUCAGUGAGGACGCCCGCUUCCUGCUGAUUGCCGCCGGCCGGACCAUCAAGGUGUGGGACUACGCGACACAGGCCAGCCCAGGCCCCCAGGUGUACAUCGGCCACUCGGAACCCGUGCAGGCUGUGGCCUUCUCUCCUGACCAGCAGCAGGUCCUCAGCGCAGGGGACGCCGUCUUCCUCUGGGAUGUCCUGGCCGCUACUGAGAGGCAAGUGCCUGCUCUCAGCUGUGUCUGCCUAGGCCCCCCAGGCCCUCCUGAAACCCUCUCUCCUCCCUCUCCAGCGACCAAAGCUUCCCCGGGGCCCCCCCAGCCUGCAAGACAGGCCUGGGCGCAGGACCGCUGGAGGACGCAGCAUCCAGGGCCAGCGAGCUCCCCCGGCAGCAGGUCCCCAAGCCAUCUCAGGCAUCUCCACCACGGCUGGGCGUCUGUGCCAGGCCUCCCGAAGGUGGCGAUGGCGCCAGGGACACCAGGAAUUCGGGGGCCCCACGCACCACCUACCUGGCUUCCUGCAAGGCCUUCACGCCUGCCAGGGUCAGCUGCAGCCCCCACUCUGCCAAGGGCACUUGCCUGCCUCCCGCCAGCGGUGGGUGGCUGCGUCUGAAGGCUGUCGUCGGCUACAGCGGGAAUGGGCGGGCCAACAUGGUCUGGAGGCCGGACACAGGCUUCUUUGCCUACACGUGCGGCCG